CGUAAUAGCUCACUGGUCGAGUCGGCCUGCGCGGAAGAUGUAACGGGGCUAAAUUAUGCACCGAAGCCGCGGCAGCGAUAUGUAAAUAUUGUUGGGUAGGGGAGCGUUCUGUAAGCCUGUGAAGGUGACCUGUGAGGGUUGCUGGAGGUAUCAGAAGUGCGAAUGCUGACAUAAGUAACGAUAAUGCGGGUGAAAAACCCGCACGCCGGAAGACCAAGGGUUCCUGUCCAACGUUAAUCGGGGCAGGGUGAGUCGACCCCUAAGGC
This 266-nucleotide ribosomal RNA is filed under the name Morganella morganii. Its description in RNAcentral is "partial 23S ribosomal RNA". It matches the Rfam family "Bacterial large subunit ribosomal RNA", at positions 1133 to 1397 of the family's 2925-position model. The record is from RNAcentral. Lineage: Bacteria; Pseudomonadati; Pseudomonadota; Gammaproteobacteria; Enterobacterales; Morganellaceae.